RNAcentral lists this ribosomal RNA (359 nucleotides) under uncultured bacterium. RNAcentral describes it as "bacterial SSU rRNA". It matches the Rfam family "Bacterial small subunit ribosomal RNA", at positions 29 to 414 of the family's 1533-position model. The record is from RNAcentral.
AACGAACGCUGGCGGCAUGCCUAACACAUGCAAGUCGAACGAGACCUUCGGGUCUAGUGGCGCACGGGUGCGUAACGCGUGGGGAUCUGCCCUUUGCUUCGGAAUAACAGUUAGAAAUGACUGCUAAUACCGGAUGAUGACUUCGGUCCAAAGAUUUAUCGGCAAAGGAUGAACCCCGCGUAGGAUUAGCUAGUUGGUGGGGUAAAGGCCUACCAAGGCGACGAUCCUUAGCUGGUCUGAGAGGAUGAUCAGCCACACUGGGACUGAGACACGGCCCAGACUCCUACGGGAGGCAGCAGUGGGGAAUAUUGGACAAUGGGCGAAAGCCUGAUCCAGCAAUGCCGCGUGAGUGAUGAAGG